RNAcentral lists this ribosomal RNA (253 nucleotides) under uncultured bacterium. RNAcentral's name for it is "partial 16S ribosomal RNA". It matches the Rfam family "Bacterial small subunit ribosomal RNA", at positions 524 to 776 of the family's 1533-position model. The record is from RNAcentral.
UACGUAGGGCGCAAGCGUUGUCCGGAAUUAUUGGGCGUAAAGAGCUCGUAGGCGGCUUGUCACGUCGGGUGUGAAAGCCCGGGGCUUAACCCCGGGUCUGCAUUCGAUACGGGCUAGCUAGAGUGUGGUAGGGGGGAUCGGAAUUCCUGGUGUAGCGGUGAAAUGCGCAGAUAUCAGGAGGAACACCGGUGGCGAAGGCGGGUCUCUGGGCAACUCCUGACGCUGAGGCGCGAAAGCGUGGGGAGCAAACGGG